AGUGAACGCUGGCGGCAGGCCUAAUACAUGCAAGUCGAACGGCAGCACAGUGGAGCUUGCUCCAUGGGUGGCGAGUGGCGGACGGGUGAGGAAUACAUGGGAAUCUGCCCAGUCGUGGGGAUAACGUAUGGAAACGUACGCUAAUACCGCAUGCGCCCUUCGGGGGAAAGUCGGGGACCGCAAGGCCUGACGCGAUUGGAUGAGCCCAUGUUCGAUUAGCUAGUUGGCGGGUAACGGCCCACCAAGGCGACGAUCGAUAGCUGGUCUGAGAGGAUGAUCAGCCACACUGGAACUGAGACACGGUCCAGACUCCUACGGGAGGCAGCAGUAGGGAAUAUUGGGACCAAUGGGGCAACCCGUGAUCCAGCCAUGCCGCGUGAGUGAAGAA
RNAcentral lists this ribosomal RNA (388 nucleotides) under uncultured bacterium. RNAcentral describes it as "bacterial SSU rRNA". It matches the Rfam family "Bacterial small subunit ribosomal RNA", at positions 29 to 412 of the family's 1533-position model. The record is from RNAcentral.